GACGAACGCUGGCGGCGUGCCUAAUACAUGCAAGUCGAACGCACUCUCGUUUAGAUUGAAGGAGCUUGCUCCUGAUUGAUAAACAUUUGAGUGAGUGGCGGACGGGUGAGUAACACGUGGGUAACCUGCCCUAAAGUGGGGGAUAACAUUUGGAAACAGAUGCUAAUACCGCAUAAAACCUAAACACCGCAUGGUGUAGGGUUGAAAGAUGGUUUCGGCUAUCACUUUAGGAUGGACCCGCGGUGCAUUAGUUAGUUGGUGAGGUAAAGGCUCACCAAGACCGUGAUGCAUAGCCGACCUGAGAGGGUAAUCGGCCACACUGGGACUGAGACACGGCCCAGACUCCUACGGGAGGCAGCAGUAGGGAAUCUUCCACAAUGGACGAAAGUCUGAUGGAGCAACGCCGCGUGAGUGAAGAAGGUUUCGGAUCGUAAAACUCUGUUGUUGGAGAAGAAUGUAUCUGAUAGUAACUGAUCAGGUAGUGUACGGUAUCCAACCAGAAAGCCACGG
RNAcentral lists this ribosomal RNA (510 nucleotides) under uncultured bacterium. RNAcentral's name for it is "bacterial SSU rRNA". It matches the Rfam family "Bacterial small subunit ribosomal RNA", at positions 28 to 496 of the family's 1533-position model. The record is from RNAcentral.